UACAGCCAUAUCAGGUUGAAACACAGGUUCUCAUCUGAUCACUGAAGUUAAGCAAUGUUGAACCUGGUCAGUACCUAGAUGGGUGACCACUUGGGAAUACCAGGUGCUGUAA
RNAcentral lists this ribosomal RNA (112 nucleotides) under Acanthosepion pharaonis. Lineage: Eukaryota; Metazoa; Mollusca; Cephalopoda; Sepiida; Sepiidae. The record is from RNAcentral.